Molecule: transfer RNA, 69 nt
Filed under: Smittia aterrima
Lineage: Eukaryota; Metazoa; Arthropoda; Insecta; Diptera; Chironomidae
Description: tRNA-Met
Source: RNAcentral
UAAAAAAUAAGCUAAUAAAGCUAUUAGGUUCAUACCCUAAACAUAAAGAUUUUAACCCUUUUUUUUUAA